RNAcentral lists this ribosomal RNA (427 nucleotides) under uncultured bacterium. RNAcentral's name for it is "bacterial SSU rRNA". It matches the Rfam family "Bacterial small subunit ribosomal RNA", at positions 355 to 774 of the family's 1533-position model. The record is from RNAcentral.
UAAGGAAUAUUGGACAAUGCCCGCAAGGGUGAUCCAGCCAUGCCGCGUGCAGGAUGAAGGCCUUCGGGUUGUAAACUGCUUUUGUACGGAACGAAAAGACUCCUUCUAAUAAAGGGGGUCCAUGACGGUACCGUAAGAAUAAGCACCGGCUAACUACGUGCCAGCAGCCGCGGUAAUACGUAGGGUGCGAGUGUUAAUCGGAAUUACUGGGCGUAAAGCGUGCGCAGGCGGUUAUAUAAGACAGAUGUGAAAUCCCCGGGCUCAACCUGGGACCUGCAUUUGUGACUGUAUAGCUAGAGUACGGUAGAGGGGGAUGGAAUUCCGCGUGUAGCAGUGAAAUGCGUAGAUAUGCGGAGGAACACCGAUGGCGAAGGCAAUCCCCUGGACCUGUACUGACGCUCAUGCACGAAAGCGUGGGGAGCAAACA